Molecule: long non-coding RNA, 2287 nt
Organism: Rhododendron vialii
Lineage: Eukaryota; Viridiplantae; Streptophyta; Magnoliopsida; Ericales; Ericaceae
Exons: 3
Source: RefSeq, a predicted model, not a curated record
CCAAUCGUUAAACCACCCAUCUCUCACAAAACCCUCAUCCCACUGCCCUAACCAGUCCAGAAAUCAAACCCUAACCCCCUUCCAAAAUCUGUCCGAAACCAGCACCCCCAUGGCUCGUUUUGCAUCUUUCCUCAGCGAAACCACCGAAAACCCUGCUACCUAGGGCUUAUCGAUCUACUCCCUCUCCAGAGACCUGGAACAUAGUUUGACAACAUAGAAAAGACAAAAAGGAAGAGCAAAAGCACUUGAUUGGGACUCUCUCUCUCUCUCUCUCUCUCUCUCUCUCUCUCCCCCCCGUCAUUUAGUUCAUAGCAAGCCCUAAUUAGAGUCCUCAUUGUAGUCUAGCUUUAGGAAUUCAAUUUAAUUUAGGGCUUUUGACUCCUGUUACCCAAUAAUUUAUAGCUCUAAUUGGCAAUUGGUUCUGUAAAAUAAAAAGAAACAUGCUAAUAGGAAAAAAAUCCUAGUGGAAGUCAAGUUUUUAGUUUAAAAUUAAUCACACUUUGUAUAUAGAAUUACCUACUUAUUUAUUACUUAGUUUAUUUGGUGAUUUCUUUUGAAACCCAAAACAAUUCCGUUGGAUCCCAAUUAUUUGGUGCUUUCACAUGCUCAACAUGAUACUUCACGUGUUUUUUCUUGAUUAGUAGUCUUAUCCUUGGAUUGUCAUUCCCAAUAUAGAAUAAUGGUGGUUCUUUCUUAAUUACCAAGUCCACAUUAUGUAUUGCACAUAUUUAAUGACCAUCCCUUUACACAAAGUCUAAAAUAUGGACUACUUUCUAUACUUCUUAAUAAAGAGGUUAAUAAAGUAGCUUUUACUUUCCACAUAUGUUUUGUGUGGGGGGCUAGACGGGUUUAUGAGGCUCUAAGUUUCUGAAGCAGUUUGGUUAGGUUUUCGUGAGCUUUUCGUUAUGAAUUAGGUUCUUUUUUUGGCUAGUAGGUUGCUGUUAGUUUGAUUGGAGUUUUCUGGAUUUUGUCAAAACCAUUUGAGUUUGUAUUGUUCAUUUUUCAUUUGGGUACGGGAGAGAGUUUUUAUUUUAUCUUGUCUAGGCACUCCGCCCGGUGAAUGAAGAAAUGUUGAGAAGCUCAUGCCUUGAAUGAUGCUCGAAUUUUGUAUGAAGAAGGUAUAUGCAUUCAUGUGCAUUUAGUGUAAUGAUUUUCCAUGCAUCACUUCUAAUUUCGUGUCUAAUCUUUAACAGAAUAAUCACGUUUUUAACUCUUAAGUUAUUAGCGCUCUUUGUUUGCUUUUGUGGGUGAUGGAAAUUUUUUUAUAAGGCUUAGAGUGGUGGCUGGCCUUGGUUUGAAAGAGCAAAAAUUUUUCUAAGGCAAAAAAUGAACAGAAGGCUAUGCUAGCGGAGCACCUUAGUAGCGCGCUACCACUUGUAUGCGCCCUAAGGGUGCUAGGGCUCUUCGGUGGCGCUAUUCAAGGUGUUCUUGAUUUUUGAUUUAAUUUUAAUGCCUAAGUUUGAAUGGCGCUCGCAGAGCGCCUUAGCAGCGCGCUAGCACUAGCUCGCGUGCUAAGAGCGCCCCAGCAGCGCGCUAGCACCCCAGCGUGUUGCUUUCUCUUUGGCUAGCUCUAGAUUUGUACCAGCACAUAUAUAAGCAUAUUUUUCAAUCUUUUAGGGCACCCACUCUUGUAUUAGCCCACUUUAGAGAGAGAAAAUCAAUUUCACUCAGAUCCCUUGUGUGGUUAUGCAUUUGAGAUUAUCUAAAUUGAGUAUUUGAUCAUCCUUUGUCAUCCUAGAGAAAUACUCUAAUAUUCAAUGUAUUCUCUCUAGGUUGAUUUGUUUUUCACAAAAACUUCAUCUCUUUUUUAAAUCCAUACAUUGUUGCCUAGGACUCUACAUGGCCGGAUGAUUCCAGAGUCGGCUUGACCCGGAGAUCGAGGUGGUGAACUUGUGGUGGCUAUGGAAUCAAGAAGGGGCUCGGAGAGCUAUAUCAAAGAGUGGAGUUAGGUGUCACAAGAGGCUUGUGGAUUGCUCAACAAUCGAUGGUGAUCAUUUGGUGCAUGGAGAUACAAUAUUGGAGUAGGAGAUCGGAGUUGAAAAAUGUUUUGGAGGACAAAACUGCUAUUUGCCUUGGUGUUUGAAUUUGCACUAUAGUAAGACAGUGCAUGUUUUGUCCAGUUAGUAGGUGCUGGUUUUGAGGUACAUUGAACUGGAUUUGUCAUACCAAGUGGAAUGGGAUAAGUAGCUAUUGGUUAAUGUCAUGUACUGACCUCCUUUUUGUUAUAUGAAGUGGAAUGGCAUUAGUACUUGGUUUUGUGUAUCAAUUGGAAUUAGAGUAUUGAUCA